CGAUUGUUGUCUUGUAGUCAGGGUGGAAGCAUGCUUCUGCCUGUCCUAAGACAAGACUAGCCGGGUUUUACCGGCUGGAAGCUGGUCGCAAUAACAGGUCUGUGAUGCCCUUAGAUGUUCUGGGCCGCACGCGCGCUACACUGGCAGAGGCAGCGAGCUGACACCUGGGUCGAAGGACCUGGGGAAUCUUGUGAAACUCUGCCGUGAUGGGGAUAGACCAUUGUAAUUAUUGGUCUUGAACGAGGAAUUCCUAGUAAGCGCAGGUCAUCAGCUUGCGUUGAUUAUGUCCCUGCCCUUUGUACACACCGCCCGUCACUACUACCGAUUGAACACCACAAUGAAGGCUGCGGAGAUGUCCUAUGGAUGUUGAAGCAUACUGAAUUGUGGUGUUUAGAGGAAGUAAAAGUCG
Molecule: ribosomal RNA, 409 nt
Filed under: Microsporidia sp.
Lineage: Eukaryota; Fungi; Microsporidia
Description: SSU rRNA
Rfam family: Eukaryotic small subunit ribosomal RNA
Source: RNAcentral